UGUCAUCUUCCCCUGCGUGGGAAUUGCUUAAGCUCCCUGGCUGGGAAGCUGCUGCCUUCCACUCAGCGUGCCCGCUGCAGGUGGAUGGUCAAGGCGUGGACUGCCGGGCAUGGGCCCACGGGCACCGGGCACUGGCCCCUUUUCCCUCCUAUCCAGCAAGGGCACAAGAGUGAAUCUACGUGCAGGUGUAAGAGCCACGUCCUCUGUCCCCAGGAUGAGAUAGAGAGAGCCUAGAGAGCCGGUAGAAGCCUAACCUGAGGUUUCCAUGACAACCAUGGAAGCCUCCAGAAACUUCAGCACCCCUACCAACUCCCUCUCAGAACCGCCAGGUUGCCAAAAAAUAUGCAGUACUGAAACGGCAGCCGAAGGAAAGGCAGGAACCAUGUGCUCUCAGACAGGGACCCUUGAGCUUCUCCCCCAGGAUGCUCAUGAAAGCCAGAGACUAACACAGCUCCGGAGAGAGUCAGGAAGAGUGGAACUGUAGGCCUUGCCUGCCUUUCCCAAAUGCACUGCCAGGAUUCCCAGUUGUGUGCACUACACCUGAAUACUGAUCCAAAAGGCCUUUCCAGAAUGUGUCCUGAUGACCGGGGCGACUUGCCAAAUGCCGCUUGGGUUUGAGAAGGCUGACCAGGAUGCACAGUGCAUGGGAUGAGGUUGCACAGUCAAUGUCCCUUGACGCUGAGACUUCACUUGGCUCUAACUCCAUGAGAC
This 711-nucleotide long non-coding RNA is filed under the name Macaca fascicularis (crab-eating macaque). RNAcentral's name for it is "lncRNA (ENSMFAG00000057493.1)". Lineage: Eukaryota; Metazoa; Chordata; Mammalia; Primates; Cercopithecidae. The record is from RNAcentral.